Molecule: non-coding RNA, 3658 nt
Organism: Vicugna pacos (alpaca)
Lineage: Eukaryota; Metazoa; Chordata; Mammalia; Artiodactyla; Camelidae
Source: RefSeq, a predicted model, not a curated record
AGCCAUCCUAAAAAGCAGGGAGAAAAGUUCAUUAAAAGUCAGUCAUUUAUUCCCGUGGUUUGAGACCAUGGCUCAUGGAAGGCAACCCUGGAGCCUGGGGGAACUGUCAUCUGUGAAUGUGAGCCUGAGAAGUGUCUGAAAGAGUGAGGAGGGGACCUGUUCAUCUCAUGCAGGGUUUGCUGAGAAACACCAGAGACUCAAAGACAAAAGAGGUAUGUGCAGCUCGUCGAAGAGGAGAGAGAAAGGAUAUAGUGCUACGGAAAUUUAAAAAAUCAUCUCAUUUGACUCCAUUUACCAUGGUUUUCCAGUGCCAACUCCAAAAGCAAGUAUUAUCCUAAGGGUUUAUUUAGGAUGGCACAGUACAUAAAAUCCCUGGGGAUUCAUUCACACCUGCCCAAAAACUUAAUAUAAUGAACAAUUUAUCAAUAUAUCUGGUGGCAUACAAAAGAACAGAAUACUGUUACGGGAACGGGGCCCCUCCAUGAAGAGAGCAGACCCAUUGGAAGAAUUAGGUGGGACUCAGAAAGGAACUGCCCUGGCACUGAAGUGCUGACCUCACAAACGACAAAGACCACCCACCAGGCAGGCGAGGCACUCCUACUGAGUGUUAACGCAGCAUGUGUGGUGGUGCUGGUUUUACCUCCUGGCUAUGAGCGCUCUACGUGUAAGUGGCAUUUUGAUUUUUUAGUUGCUUCUCUGCUAAGGAGUAGAGUGUCCCUCCUUCCAUCCACAGGUCAGGUGAGCCUGAGAAGUGUCUGAAAGAGUGAGGAGGGAACCCGUUCAUCUCAUGCAGGGUUUGCUGAGAAACACCAGACUCAAAGACAAAAGAGCAGCUCAUUAGCUGGGGCCUCCUGUUCACCCUCCAAAACUAACCAGGGUCCAACCGCUUCUCACCUCCUCCAUGGCCAUCGCCCUGCUCCCAGAUGCCACCAUCUCUCACCUGGACCACGGGCACCAUCUCCUGAGCGCUCUCCCCUCCCCCUGCCCCUGAGGACUUGUCACCCACAUAGCACACAGAGGGGUCCUUCAGAGUCCCUGUCUGCUCCCAGCUCACUCAGGUUAAAGCCAGGCCCAUGUAAGAGCCUCCAGCACCCAGCCCGCUUCUCCGCUCUCGGUUCCAACCUCAAAGGCCUCCUAGCUGUUCCUCGUAAAAGCUGAACCCACCAUCCCUCCUCUGGUGUGAUCCUUUCCCUAGGGCAGACGUAGGUUCCCUCACUUCCGGUCACAGGGAGCCCUUCCCUGUCCACUCUGUAAGAGGCACACCCCAUCCUUUCAGACCCAUUUCCUUGCCUUUUAAAAAGAUUCACUGCUGAUACACAUUUGUCUACACAUAACGUUCACCAUCUUUCCUCACUCCAGUGGAAGCUUCAUGAGAAAACGUUAUUUGUACAUAUGGUGCACUCCUGUGCUCCUAACACUACCGCCUAGAGUCUGUCCCAGGACGUACAGCGGCCUCAGUCCCCAGCACGGAUGCCCAUCCGCAGAUGCUCGAGUCCCUGAUACUAAAGGCUGCAGUGCCUGCCUGUGGUCUCCCGUGCACUUUAAAUCGUCUCUGGAUUACUCUUGGUAACUGAUACGAUGUAAAUGCUGUGUAACUAGUUGCCGGACACGACAUAUUCAAGUUUUGCCUUUUGGAGCUACCUGGAAUUUUUGUUUUUUUCAGUAUUUUCAGUCACGGUUGGUUGAAUCGUGGAUGCGGGGCCUGUGGAUAUGAAGGGCUGACUACGUGUUGAAUGAAAGCAUGAGCCAAAGGAAACACCAGGAGGGAGGCGGUGUCUGCGGGCACGUACCCCCUGCGUCUUCAGAUGCGCCAUCCCCACCGACCACACAGAUGCCGGAGUCUUAUGCCGUGAAGCCUAGCAAAUGAUAAACGGGAAAAAGGAAAUCCCAGGAUCACCUGACGAUCCUCCCACCUACGGCCUCCUUCCGCGUAGGCAGAGAGCAGGCUCAGAGGUGCCCAUGACAGCUGGAGCCUGCUUGGCCUCCCGGAACAGGAGGGCUCGGGGACUGGAAAGUGCCCAUUGAAGACAGGGGAGCUGGGGUCCUGACAUGGGCGAAUGGUGCUGCGGGAUCCCUGACAGUAAGAGAAACGAGCUUUCAUACUGUGGCUGAAUCUGCUCUUAACCAGCUCGGUGCUUUGUUUCAUGGUCCAAGCCAAUGCCACGUGCUGGAGUUCUUCCGGGAGGAGUCGGUCUGCAGAGAGAAGUCCGACGGGGAAAUAGACAAGCACUGAGCUGGAUGCCUUUGCUGUGUCCUAACUGUGUUUGGGGCUGCCCCAAAGUGACAGCUGCUUUCCCAAGCAAAGGUGUUGGCAUGGAUGGAAGGACCCAACCGGACUGAGAAACACAUCCAUUCUGUGAACAUGACAGAGUCAGAGAAGAAGACCCAGGGCAGCGGGGAUUCUGUGUGGGCAGAGGGGUUCGAGAGCCCCGUGGCGGACAGCUGGCCGGUGAGAACGGCUGAGGACGGAGAGUGCCGACCUGGAGCAGGUGACAGUUGUCUAACGUAUUCUCACGAGGGGAGGCUGGACCAGAGCUGACCCUUCAUACUCAACGUGUUUGAGUGUCCAGGAUGCUCUGUAAAAGCUGGAUCCAGAAGUUAGUCCUACAGAAUUUCCAUUCUGUCGUCAGACUCUUUAGGGAAAGUCUUGUCUUGCUGGCUGGAGGGUUUCCCUCCCGGUGUCACUGUUGAAUUAUUCUCAUGUGCCCUGAAGAUGCUGUGCUGAUUGGGAGUCAGGCUUCUGAGGACAGGAACUCAGCAGUUUGGUCAGUUAUGUCCCUAACUCCAUGACAAACAACUCGUGGGCUUCCUGAGGGGGGCAGCACACACAACCGUUAGGAACAGCUACACAGAAGAAAUCUGUUCAGGACGGAGAGUCUUUGACUGUAGAAAGGAUUUGUCAGUCAAGCACCAAGAGUGAGAAAAAAACAAAGGAAGUACCCGGGGUCAAAUAAUCGUGGGAAUCAACUUCCCAAAGCCCAGCACCUGGAGUUGGUGCGACCCCUGCUCAGACCAGGAGAUGCCCUCGGGACAGCGCUGGCUCAGGCUGCAUGGCCCUUCUUGGAAGAGAUGCUGUAACUUAGCCCCAGCCCCUGGGAACCCAGCUGUGGGAACAUAUCGGGAGGGGCGUGAGUGUCAGCACAGUGCGGGGGUGGGGGUGCUCAGCCAACCAAGACUGCCUGGCAUUUCCCAUCCCGCUCCCCGGCUGUCCCGGGCCUGCGUCCCCAGGGGUGUUGGGCUUUUCCUGCCUUUCACAACAAGUGCUGGGUCCAAGAUGCUCUGGGACAAUCUUUCCCUGAUAUUCUUUUUGAUGAUGGCUCCUCUCUGGUUUUACUGAUGGAGAGAUUCUGUCUUGUUUUUGAGAAAGAGAAUUCUGGGUCAGAAAACAGCCUCAACACCUCGGAGUGGUGGUCUGAAUUACAGCCUCCUGCAGAUCCAACUUGGUCCCAGCCUGAAGGCAAAAUAGCUUCAGUGUUUUAUUAAUAAUGCUGCUAUAAUAUGCGAUGUAUAUACAUGUGUGUGUACGUAUGUAUAGAGUUUACAACGUGCCAGCCAUUCUUCUAAGCAUGUUACAUCUGUAGACUCAUUUAGUUCUCAUAAAAAGUCUGUGAUUGAGCAUUAUUGUUCUUAUAUAUUCUUUCAUAAAUAAGGAAGCUGA